UACGGGGGGGGCAAGCGUUGUUCGGAAUUACUGGGCGUAAAGGGCGCGUAGGCGGUUCGCUAAGUUGAAUGUGAAAACUCUGGGCUUAACCCAGAGCCUGCAUUCAAUACUGGCGGGCUAGAGUUCUGGAGGGGAUAGCGGAAUUCCUGGUGUAGCGGUGAAAUGCGUAGAUAUCUGGAGGAACACCGGUGGCGAAGGCGGCAUCCUGGACCAAUACUGACGCUGAGGAGCGAAAGCCAGGGGAGCAAACGGG
Molecule: ribosomal RNA, 253 nt
Filed under: uncultured bacterium
Lineage: Bacteria
Description: partial 16S ribosomal RNA
Rfam family: Bacterial small subunit ribosomal RNA
Source: RNAcentral